AAACCGUAUAUUUUGGCACCAUUAAGUCCUAAAGAAGUUUGUGAAUUAUAAAAAGUUGUAAAAGACCGAAUGGAAGCAUAUGAGAAAGAAAAAAGAAAGUGUGAGAGUGCACAUGAAAAAGAAAAGGUGCACAAGCAAAAGGGGAGUUGUGUGGAAAAUAAUGAGGGGCGAGAGCAACGAGUGGUAAAAGGAGAGUUUAGCGAGGG
RNAcentral lists this long non-coding RNA (206 nucleotides) under Ricinus communis (castor bean). Its description in RNAcentral is "long non-coding RNA (RCOM_LNC002010)". Lineage: Eukaryota; Viridiplantae; Streptophyta; Magnoliopsida; Malpighiales; Euphorbiaceae. The record is from RNAcentral.